Long non-coding RNA from Aethalodelphis obliquidens (Pacific white-sided dolphin), 1838 nucleotides. RefSeq lists it as uncharacterized. NCBI's taxonomy places the organism in Eukaryota, Metazoa, Chordata, Mammalia, Artiodactyla, Delphinidae. The record is from RefSeq and is a predicted model, not a curated record. The transcript is spliced from 3 exons.
CCCCGGACCGGGGCGCGAACCCGUGUUCCCUGCAUCGGCAGGCGGACUCUCAACCGCUGCGCCACCAGGGAAGCCCUUACCUUGUUAUUUAAGUGAGGGCUCCCAUAGGGAGGAGGAGGAGGGUCUGUGUAGAAAAUGCUCUUUCCUAGCUCUUACUCUCACUCUCCCCACUUUGGUUUUAGGCCCCUUCAGUGUUUUACCCAGAUGAGAAAGUGAUUUAGGGAAAAGAGCCUUAUAAGAGGACACUAUGCACCAGGUUAGGAAAAUACUUAGCGCUGGCUUUCGACCUCAUGAGCUACUUUUGUAGAUUUAAAUACAUGAAUAAUGAGGUUUGGGGGAACUUCAAUAGCAACUCCCAAGGUGGAGGGAAAUGGGAGGACUUUCGUCCUGGGACAUCACCACUCAGCUCCUGUGUGUUCCUUAUGCAGACUUUUUUUUUGUUGUGGCCAUUGCCCCGUCAUCGUGGUUUGUGACUAUCUUGAGCAGAGUUCCAUUUCUGAUGGCUCUAGGCUUUCUCUUAUGGUCCACAGCCAAGCCUCUGGAACCAUAUGUGGCACUAGGACAGUUUGCUUCCAGUGCAUCUCACUGUUUCUCUGCUCUUGUGACUCACAGCCACAUUGUCUCUCACACUUAGGUUUCUUAAAUGGGAGUCAGAUACAAGUGCACCACGUUCCCAGUUGUAGUGAUCACAGCACAUACUUUCUGAGCAAUCACCUUACAGCUUUCUCUGUGGGCCUGAAUUCAAGAGGAUGGAUACAGCCUUUACCCAUCUCCCAAGGGGAGGGCUUAAAAAGUUUUUAUACGUUUACAACAUUCUCAGAUUUUUUCUGCAAAAAUAUUUCUCUUCCCAGUGUUCUUUGACUUUGAUCUUCAUUAUCGGUCUGUGGGUGUUGGAUGAAGGGUCCCCACACAACUUUGGGGGCACCCCUUUUAUAAGUCUGGCAUAAGUCUUUGGAAUAUAGGGGAAAGGGCACCAAUUCUUUGGUUGUUGACCUUCAUGGGCCCACCUGAAAUUAACAUAAAGGAGUCCUCUUUUGCCAUUCAGGUACACAGGUAACAGUGAAGUCUGGGUUAUAGGAGGGAUGCAAUCUGCUAGGCUCACACUCAGGCCCUUCUGCCUGUACGUGAAGAAAUCACCAGUAAUGAUUUUCUGAUGUAUCUCUCUGUAGUUAAUAGAAACAUCAGAGAUGGGUUUGUUUUGAUUUCCUCUAGAGAUACAUUUACCUCAAACAUCCUGAUAAUACUCAUAAAGUCAAGGAUCUUUUCUGGCACACAAGCAACAUAGUGCUCCAGAUUUUCAUCCGUGAGUUUUGGGAAGACCUAAGUGGUACACAAACUUCUCUCAACAUAUUUUUAGUGCUCUGCUCACAUCUCCCAUUACUGGCUGGUUCCCACCUGCUGCUGGAGUACUGAAGCCAAUGAUUUACACCUGUGGCCGCUGAGGAAUUGCCUUUGUCAGACGUUAACCAGGUCAGCUCACCUGGAGAUGACUAGGAAAUUAAACCCUUUACCCAGGAGCAGCCCAUAAACCAUAGGGUAUAAAAGCCAGGCUUCUUGCUUCAAGACGCUGCCGUGGGAUCAAACUUCCAAGUUUCGCCUUUGGAUGAAGCCAAGGGAAAACAGGCAGGGGAAGCUGCAGCCCUCUACCACGACUUGCACACUCACCUGGCCGAGAACUAUAAGAAGCUGGAAGGAGACUCCCCAUAUCAUCAAAAGGAGACCGCAGAUGGGAGCUGUAUCCAAGUACCAAGUCUUGAGUCAAGAUGGGUGUUGAGAGAAAACAGGCAGACCACAAGAAUAUUGUUAAAACCAUUUUAUGGGCUUCCCUGGCGGCGCAG